AGAGUUUGAUCCUGGCUCAGACUGAACGCUGGCGGCAUGCCUAACACAUGCAAGUCGAACGGCAGCACAGCCCCGCAAGGGGUGGGUGGCGAGUGGCGGACGGGUGAGGAAUACAUCGGAAUCUGCCCUGUUGUGGGGGAUAACCCAUCGAAAGGUGGGCUAAUACCGCAUGAGACGGUGACGUGAAAGCGGGGGACCUGUAAGGGCCUCGCGCGACGGGAUGAGCCGAUGUCGGAUUAGCUAGUUGGUAGGGUAAAGGCCUACCAAGGCGACGAUCCGUAGCUGGUCGGAGAGGAUGAUCAGCCACACUGGGACUGAGACACGGCCCAGACUCCUACGGGAGGCAGCAGUGGGGAAUAUUGGACAAUGGGCGCAAGCCUGAUCCAGCAAUGCCGCGUGUGUGAAGAAGGCCUUCGGGUUGUAAAGCACUUUUAUCGGGAGCGAAAAGCGGAUGGUGAAUACCUAUCCGUCAUGACGGUACCCGAGGAAUAAGC
This 494-nucleotide ribosomal RNA is filed under the name uncultured bacterium. RNAcentral describes it as "bacterial SSU rRNA". It matches the Rfam family "Bacterial small subunit ribosomal RNA", at positions 8 to 491 of the family's 1533-position model. The record is from RNAcentral.